This 233-nucleotide ribosomal RNA is filed under the name uncultured bacterium. RNAcentral's name for it is "partial 16S ribosomal RNA". It matches the Rfam family "Bacterial small subunit ribosomal RNA", at positions 794 to 1023 of the family's 1533-position model. The record is from RNAcentral.
UCCACGCAGUAAACGUUGUACACUAGGUGUAGCGGGUAUUGACCCCUGCUGUGCCGGAGCUAACGCAUUAAGUGUACCGCCUGGGGAGUACGAUCGCAAGGUUGAAACUCAAAGGAAUUGACGGGGGCCCGCACAAGCGGUGGAGCAUGUGGUUUAAUUCGAUGAUACGCGAGGAACCUUACCUGGGCUUAAAUGCAGAGUGACAGUCCCCGGAAACGGGGGUCUUCUUCGGA